RNAcentral lists this ribosomal RNA (492 nucleotides) under Exiguobacterium profundum. Its description in RNAcentral is "bacterial SSU rRNA". It matches the Rfam family "Bacterial small subunit ribosomal RNA", at positions 381 to 865 of the family's 1533-position model. The record is from RNAcentral. Lineage: Bacteria; Bacillati; Bacillota; Bacilli; Caryophanales.
GUCUGAUGGAGCACGCCGCGUGAACGAUGAAGGCUUUCGGGUCGUAAAGUUCUGUUGUAAGGGAAGAACAAGUGCCGCAGGCAAUGGCGGCACCUUGACGGUACCUUGCGAGAAAGCCACGGCUAACUACGUGCCAGCAGCCGCGGUAAUACGUAGGUGGCAAGCGUUGUCCGGAAUUAUUGGGCGUAAAGCGCGCGCAGGCGGCCUCUUAAGUCUGAUGUGAAAGCCCCCGGCUCAACCGGGGAGGGCCAUUGGAAACUGGGAGGCUUGAGUAUAGGAGAGAAGAGUGGAAUUCCACGUGUAGCGGUGAAAUGCGUAGAGAUGUGGAGGAACACCAGUGGCGAAGGCGACUCUUUGGCCUAUAACUGACGCUGAGGCGCGAAAGCGUGGGGAGCAAACAGGAUUAGAUACCCUGGUAGUCCACGCCGUAAACGAUGAGUGCUAGGUGUUGGAGGGUUUCCGCCCUUCAGUGCUGAAGCUAACGCAUUAAGC